Long non-coding RNA from Scophthalmus maximus (turbot), 338 nucleotides. RefSeq lists it as uncharacterized. NCBI's taxonomy places the organism in Eukaryota, Metazoa, Chordata, Actinopteri, Pleuronectiformes, Scophthalmidae. The record is from RefSeq and is a predicted model, not a curated record. The transcript has 3 exons.
GCAAUACCGACAUCUAGUGGCCGAUCCCCCCACACAACAACCAGCUCAGCCUUCAGGUGAUGUUAUGCGAAACCUUUUUUUCAAGUUCUGCAACAGCCCGGGGGUCUGUACUACGAAGCAGGACUUGCGGUUAUGGAGUGAUGGCACAAUUUCCUCCAGCACACCGAGGGAAGUGGAUGUAGCAGGAUGCGGGAUCCUAUUGACAGCUCCAGCCACCCAAACGCACAAUCGUCUCUCACCUUCGUCUUGUCCCUUGAGACCCAUCUAGAAUCCAUAGUGCCCAGGGUGAGGCUGGGAAGCAAGUGGUUCAGGACCUUCGCCAGAAAAACCUGCCAACA